Molecule: long non-coding RNA, 262 nt
Filed under: Arachis ipaensis
Lineage: Eukaryota; Viridiplantae; Streptophyta; Magnoliopsida; Fabales; Fabaceae
Description: long non-coding RNA (AIPA_LNC000074)
Source: RNAcentral
UGGCCAAACAUUCUUCUCCCCUUCACUAACAAUCACAGCUUUAUUUUCAAUGCUUCUAUUCCGCAAACCAUUCCCUGCAUUUAAUCCAACAAAAUUCUGGUUAUUGGUUGUCAUCAAGACCCCAUAAGGCAGCACCUUUGAUCACAUUAAGCCUCUUUCACACUCAUUGAACAGAUUUGUUUUCUUCACUCAUCGCCUUUUGCUCCCAUUCAUUUCUUAAUUUAAAUUCCUUCUCUCCUUUGAAGCUAAUGUCGAUGUUUAU